GGGCCCGCACAAGCGGUGGAGUAUGUGGUUUAAUUCGAUGCAACGCGAAGAACCUUACCAGGGUUUGACAUCCUGCGAAUCUCUUGGAAACGAGAGAGUGCCUUCGGGAACCCAAACACAGGUGCUGCAUGGCCGUCGUCAGCUCGUGUCGUGAGAUGUUGGGUUAAGUCCCGUAACGAGCGCAACCCCUAUCCCUAGUUGCUAGCAGUUCGGCUGAGAACUCUAGGGAGACUGCCGGUGACAAACCGGAGGAAGGUGGGGAUGACGUCAGGUCAUCAUGGCCCUUACGGCCAGGGCUACACACGUGCUACAAUGGCGCGCACAGAGGGCUGCAAACCCGCGAGGGGGAGCCAAUCUCACAAAACGCGUCGUAGUCCGGAUCGCAGUCUGCAACUCGACUGCGUGAAGUCGGAAUCGCUAGUAAUCG
Molecule: ribosomal RNA, 427 nt
Filed under: uncultured bacterium
Lineage: Bacteria
Description: bacterial SSU rRNA
Rfam family: Bacterial small subunit ribosomal RNA
Source: RNAcentral